AAAAACUCAAAAUUCAGCUUUUAAAAGUUGUUUCCAUUGAAAAUAGGCUACAAAAUCAGAUGCAUGAUGUCGAACUUAGCAAGGAAGGAAACUCUUAAAAUUUUGUUGAUGUGGCAGUGAUGACAUGGUAGUGAUAGCAGUUGAUGUGGCUAUUUGAUGUGGGUUGUUGCUGGCCAGAUCUAUUGCUUGUAGGCUCAUAAUAAAGCUAGGUGAGCUUUUUAGAUGUGGAUGUGGAUCCGAAUGCCUAAUUUGUCUGGUUAAAGCUCCAAGGGUGUUGGAUUGAAGUUCCAAUGAUGGGAAGAGACAGAUCGGCUGACGGCGAGUUGCUAGGUUCUUUUAGUUUUUGACUUUUUUUCUUUUCUUUUUUGAAUUGUAGGUAGCAAGGAAAGAUUUCGAAGGAUAAAAAACAUCGUGGGAAUCUAAGGAAUGAGAAGAUUUGAAUAGGAAGUCUGAUAAUUUUGCAGAGAGCGAUGGAAAUUUAGCUCGAUUUUAGGCUCUUAUACCAAAAUUCAUGUAGAAUAAAUAAAGAAGAAUAAAUAACUAGGAAAAACUUAGGAUCAAUCCUUAAAAAGAGAACUAAUUUUCAAAAUA
Molecule: unclassified non-coding RNA, 591 nt
Filed under: Hevea brasiliensis (rubber tree)
Lineage: Eukaryota; Viridiplantae; Streptophyta; Magnoliopsida; Malpighiales; Euphorbiaceae
Source: RNAcentral